Non-coding RNA from Rhodocollybia butyracea, 125 nucleotides. The record is from the annotation of a GenBank genome assembly. Lineage: Eukaryota; Fungi; Basidiomycota; Agaricomycetes; Agaricales; Omphalotaceae.
UCCCUGGUAGUAUAUCGGCUAGUACACUCAUAUCAUAUCAUAUCACGCACUUGACAUGGAUUGCAAAACCUGAAAUCUCUAUUUAUAAACCACGCGAAAGCUGGGUUCAAUUCCCAGCCAGGGUA